Molecule: ribosomal RNA, 253 nt
Filed under: uncultured bacterium
Lineage: Bacteria
Description: partial 16S ribosomal RNA
Rfam family: Bacterial small subunit ribosomal RNA
Source: RNAcentral
UACGUAGGGGGCAAGCGUUGUCCGGAUUUAUUGGGCGUAAAGAGCGUGUAGGCGGCCAGACAGGUCCGUUGUGAAAACUCGAGGCUCAACCUCGAGACGCCGAUGGAAACCGUCUGGCUAGAGUCCGGAAGAGGAGAGUGGAAUUCCUGGUGUAGCGGUGAAAUGCGUAGAUAUCUGGAGGAACACCGGUGGCGAAGGCGGCAUCCUGGACCGACAUUGACGCUGAGGAGCGAAAGCUAGGGGAGCAAACGGG